GAAGCAGAGGUUUUUCUUAAGGUCAGAUCCAGUGGUGGGAACACUAUACUUAAUGUCAAAGUCCAAGGGACCCCGAAACUUCGACCACUGAUUGAGGGAGAUUACUUAAUUUACUAUGUAGACGAGAACUGUGGAAUAAUACGGCCCCGCAGCAGCGAGAACGGAGUGUGUACAGCCUGGGUAACAGCACGUACAGCAGCUUUCACGCACAGUGCCUGCAAAAAGGCAUUUGUGGCGAACUGUAGAACAUGCCAGACAAAUGAAGAAACGGCCACUGCUGGAUAAAAACGAGGACCCGGCAUUCAAUAACAUAUCCGACAAUAUCCCAUAAUAAAAGCAACUGCUACCUGAAUAAUCAUUUUAUUUUUACCUCGUACUAAACUGAAAGUAGUAUAUGCAAUAU
Molecule: long non-coding RNA, 403 nt
Organism: Dermacentor silvarum
Lineage: Eukaryota; Metazoa; Arthropoda; Arachnida; Ixodida; Ixodidae
Exons: 3
Source: RefSeq, a predicted model, not a curated record